This 71-nucleotide transfer RNA is filed under the name Neomysis orientalis. RNAcentral describes it as "tRNA-Val". Lineage: Eukaryota; Metazoa; Arthropoda; Malacostraca; Mysida; Mysidae. The record is from RNAcentral.
AAAAUAGUAAUAUAAUAAAAAUAAAAAAUUUACUUGUUUGAUUACGAAGCCAUCCAUGUUCGUGUGUUUUU